GCUUGCACCUCUGGUUAGCGGCGGACGGGUGAGUAACACGUGGGCAACCUGCCUGUAAGAUCGGGAUAACAUCGGGAAACCGAUGCUAAUACCGGAUAAUCCUUUUCCUCUCAUGAGGGAAAGCUGAAAGUCGGUUUCGGCUGACACUUACAGAUGGGCCCGCGGCGCAUUAGCUAGUUGGUGAGGUAACGGCUCACCAAGGCGACGAUGCGUAGCCGACCUGAGAGGGUGAUCGGCCACACUGGGACUGAGACACGGCCCAGACUCCUACGGGAGGCAGCAGUAGGGAAUCUUCCGCAAUGGACGAAAGUCUGACGGAGCAACGCCGCGUGAACGAUGAAGGCCUUCGGGUCGUAAAGUUCUGUUGUUAGGGAAGAACAAGUAUCGGAGUAACUGCCGGUACCUUGACGGUACCUAACCAGAAAGCCACGGCUAACUACGUGCCAGCAGCCGCGGUAAUACGUAGGUGGCAAGCGUUGUCCGGAAUUAUUGGGCGUAAAGCGCGCGCAGGCGGUCCUUUAAGUCUGAUGUGAAAGCCCACGGCUCAACCGUGGAGGGUCAUUGGAAACUGGGGGACUUGAGUGCAGAAGAGGAAAGCGGAAUUCCACGUGUAGCGGUGAAAUGCGUAGAGAUGUGGAGGAACACCAGUGG
This 651-nucleotide ribosomal RNA is filed under the name Bacillus sp. (in: firmicutes). RNAcentral describes it as "bacterial SSU rRNA". It matches the Rfam family "Bacterial small subunit ribosomal RNA", at positions 78 to 715 of the family's 1533-position model. Lineage: Bacteria; Bacillati; Bacillota; Bacilli; Caryophanales; Bacillaceae. The record is from RNAcentral.